RNAcentral lists this ribosomal RNA (280 nucleotides) under Crustomastix stigmatica. Its description in RNAcentral is "partial Bacterial large subunit ribosomal RNA". It matches the Rfam family "Bacterial large subunit ribosomal RNA", at positions 2153 to 2432 of the family's 2925-position model. The record is from RNAcentral. Lineage: Eukaryota; Viridiplantae; Chlorophyta; Mamiellophyceae; Dolichomastigales; Crustomastigaceae.
GGCUUUGAAGCGGGGACGCCAGUUCCCGUGGAGCCAUCCUUGAAAUACCACCCUGGUUUGUUUGAGGUUCUAACCUUGGUCCGUUAUCCGGAUCGGGGACAGUGCAUGGUAGGCAGUUUGACUGGGGCGGUCUCCUCCUAAAGUGUAACGGAGGAGUUCGAAGGUACGCUAGGUACGGUCGGACAUCGUGCUAAUAGUGCAAUGGCAUAAGCGUGCUUAACUGCGAGACCGACAAGUCGAGCAGGUACGAAAGUAGGACAUAGUGAUCCGGUGGUUCUGU